Molecule: long non-coding RNA, 711 nt
Filed under: Equus caballus (horse)
Lineage: Eukaryota; Metazoa; Chordata; Mammalia; Perissodactyla; Equidae
Description: lncRNA (ENSECAG00000056530.1)
Source: RNAcentral
GUUUUCUUCUAAUGGCUUUAAGUAGAAAAUUAACAUUUUCUGAAUCUAGUGAUUUGAUUUUUUUUUUCUUCUCAUGAUAGCAUGUUGGAAUUUUAGGAAAAUAUUGUGACUUACUCGAAUGUGCUGGAGGGAACGGUGUGAACCAACGUUCUCUGCUACCUAGAGACUGGAUGCCACUGCAGAUUUGCCCCUUUCUAAAGCCCCACCAGCGCAGUCCAUCCCCAAAGAACCGCAAACCAGAAUCCUGGAUAUAAUUUGAUCUUCAUUAUGGAGAGGGCAGCGGAAUCAGAUAAUAGAAGUCCUGAAGAGUUUAAGUAACAGAGGAUCAACCUCGCGUUCCCCAUCCGGCCCUGCUCCCCAGCUGAGUAUAAUUAUCUGAGUUCCUAAGCACUGCAGUGAUAUGUGAAGAAAUCCAAAGAAGAAAUACAAUCUGUCUUCAUUGUCUUUCGUCAUUCGCCCUCGAUUAAAUAUUUCUUACCCUGGGCUAAGGUAGCCUGGGGUGGAACAGGCCAUGGGCUGCAGGCCAGAAGAGGUCACCUUACACUUCCUAGCUUGAGGCCUUUGCAGAAUCCAUACAAGCUGUGAAAUGAUUCCUUUCCAUGAAGCCCCGGAACAAAGCCGCUCGCUCUCCGCUUUCUGAAUCAUCAAAACUCAUUCAAGUUACAUAAACAAGCACAUGGACAAAGAAAACAGUUCAGUAGUUACCAGGGG